CGGGGGUGGCACAGGGGGUGCGGAGCGGGGACGGGAUACCGCGGGAAGCACGCAGCGAUGUGAGGGGCCAGGGAACUGCGCUCCCGGCACUGCUGAGCCCUCUGUUAGCGCCUGCUCUGUUCCGAGGCAGCACCGACACCCCGCGUACCGGGUUGGAAUGUCCUUUACAGCAUGGACCAUCCCGCCCCGCUGCUUUAUGAAACGGGAGGCUGGAACUGGCAGGAGUGACAGCAGGCAGCCCCCUCCUGGCACAGCUUCCGUCAUCUCCCGUGCGUGUGACAGCACCGGCCUCUCCGUCAGUCCCUGGGCUGGAGAAAGCCAAAACCUUGGCCGUCCUGCAUCUUCAAAUUACAAACAUACCCAGUUCAGACUCAGAAUGAGCUGCAGGAACCCUCCAGGUCUGGCUGCUAGAGAUAAUGAAAUGGAUAAAUGGAUAAAUCUACUGUGACGGUAAAGAAUUUUAGUGGUUAAUUCGGGUUAAAAGGUCAGUGACCAUUGAGAUCAACUCGCUUUGCAGUUGUGCAGGAAGCAGUUCUGCAACCAUAAACCUCAUUUCGUGGCAAAAUAAAGUGAAUGUAGAAUUUAAAUCAAGACGUAGGAGUGCAUAGACCUUUGGAAAUGGUAGUCCAAUGUACCAUUUUAUUGACAAUGUAAUAUUGACAAUAUUAGGUUAACUUUAUUUCAGUUCCAAAAUUGUACUUCAGAGAGAGACUCAUGAUUAGUUCUGACAGCAAAUAAAAAAGAAGUCAUGAACUUUAAAAUAAUGCUGGUACAUCUAAUGCUUAUAUUAAUGACUUAAGAUUAAGUGUAAUUUUUAAGCUUUGUAAUUAAAGAUAAUUGCUUUAAUGAGAUUUUCUGUAAUUGUAACAUUAUAUCUAAUAACAAUUGUUACUAAUUUUAAAAACCCUCUGGAGAAAAUCUUAGAGAUCCUAGUAAUUGCAGCACAUCUCAUUUUCUGUCCACUGGGUUUAAAUUUGUACCCUCUGAGCCUAAUUUGUUGCUUUCCUUAAUUAAUGUUGCAUGAAAUUUUCCCCUUUUGGUCAUUUGAUACCCUGAUAAAGAUUGGUUGUCGACUCUCUGCAGGGUGUUGUUAGCAAAGAUCUUGUCAGGUUCAAGAGUGGAUAAGGACAUCCUAGACUGGCAUGCUGAUUGAGUCACACCUUCAGAGCUUCCAGGCAGGCAGGUGUACUGGGGUGUGGUGGAAAGCUGAUUUCACCAGCUAUCUAACAGGCUGGAUUGCCACUUUCUUUGGUUCUCUUUGUCAUUUUGUUAUUUUCCUUACUGAAAUUGCAAUUUUUAAAAGUCUCUCUGCAGGUGGAAUGCCUCCUGUCCCUCAAGUGGCUCAGCAUAUUAGCCAGGAGGAAAACCAGCAGCAAAAUGGACCAAAUUUGUCAAGUUGGCUUAAUUCCUUACCUGCUGCAUAUGACAGGAACCCAGUUCUGCCCCAGCAGGUACAACCAGCAGGCUGGGAUAGGAACAAUGUGCUUGUGGUCCCAGUUCCAGUUCCCUCACAACAACAGGAAAAUGAAAUUCUGCAGGGAAUAACAGCACUGAGGAAAGAAGGUUUAUGGUCUCUGAAACCUCUGCCCAAACUCAGCGCAAAUCAUACCAUGUUGUUAUGAAAGAAAUGCAGUGGAUGGCAACUGACUCUUUUUUCAAGAAAGAAGAUGAAAGACUGUAAUUGCCAAGAGAGUGAUGUGAAUUUGAUAUUUUCAACCAGAAAAGAAUAGGCAGCAUUUUCAUGGUUAGGAUGUGAUCACCGAGGAUCUGGGAGUCUGGGGUUGCCUUUCCACUGUUUAUAAACUUUAAACAGUACUCCUAAAGGGAUUUAGUAUGUAAUUAUUUUUUUUCUUUAGAAAUUUGCCUUUUAGAUAGAACUGAGCAAAACCUUAAAAUAAUUUUAUGGUUUUAUUUUAGGGUUAAUGUGUCAAGGUGGGAAUAGAUGGGUCUGAAAUACCAGUUCUACAAAGGCAAAUGUUCUAAUUACAAGCAUUGAAUUAGCUGCAGAUAUAGCUUAUCUUUUGAGGGUGCUGCCCUAUUUGUGACUCCUGGUAACAUGAGCAUAAUGCUCCAUUUCCAUGGUGUGGGUUCUUGGAGCCUUUUAAAGUAACGGCAGCUGCUCUCUGCAAAGUCACAUGACACGUGGCUCUUCCAAGUUCCACUUUAAUUCUGCCAUCAGCUGGGAGCUUUUUAAUCAUUCUCAGAUACUGUGGUAUUAUUACUAUUAUUUUGUCUAAACUGCAUCUGAAUAGUAGUAAAAUAUUUCUUUAGGUUUUGUUUUUUCUUUUACUAUAACUUAAGUACACAGACUGGCCUCUCUUUGAUUUGAUUGGGAUGGAAAACCAAAUUAGUUGCUACAAAGCACAAAUGCUGUUAAAACUGAAGGUAACUGGAAAGUUUAUUGAAGACAUCUCCUGCACCCUUUCGUCAGCCAGACUUAAGCCAGUGAAGCUCAAACCAAAAAGAAGCUUUAUCUGGUCACAAUAGAUUCAGAAAAUAAUUUUGAAUUUAAAGGGUAUCCAAAGAGAAAAAAGACAACUAAAGGAACACCUGGAUAAAAUAUACUUCUGGAAUGAGUGUCAUUAUUCCAGAAUCCUCCUGUAUGGCAGAGACCUGUUGGAAACUUGCUCUUGGAUCAGUGAAAGAAAAAUCUCUCAGCAUUGCUCUGCCAGGAUUAACAAGUGGUGCUGGGCAGGCUUUGCAAAUUGCCUUCCAUAUUCCAGCACUUCAGAGGCUCUAAGGAUCUAUUGCAGGAAAUCAUUCUGACACUGAAACAACAACAGAUUGCCCUGAAGGAUGUUAUUUCCAGAGACCUGUGUGUGUUCCAGCUGUAGCUGUUGCUCCUCCAUAUUUGUGUGGAGCAAAUCCUUCUUACACAUGGACUCAUGGAAUGAAACUCUUGCAGUUCAGUCUCGAGGGACAGAGAUGGUGCAGUGUGAUUCAGGUGUCAGUCACACAGGUGUGAUUACUGUUGUCUUCUAUGACUGAUUUAGAUCUGCUGAUGGAUGCAAAGAGUAAGGAGUGGUGUGACAAAAUUACAAGAGGCAGAGAUAACCACACAUACAGGCUUGUAAGUGGUAAUUCUGUUGAAGAGAGUCUGUUGAAAAAGAGUAUUAAACAUAUGAUUCAAGAACUGGCUGCUCAGGGAGGGGAUUGUUCAACAGACCUUUUAUCUCAGGAUGACUAAAAAUUUUUUUGACAUCAUGCCUUAUCUUAUUGAAUACUUCAAAACAUGUUUCCAUAAGGCUUUUUGCUCUGAAUAUGGAAAAGAGGGUUCCAGAAUGUUUACAGAAGAGAGACUGUCUGAGCUAAGAAAUUAUUUAGAUUGAGAGUUGUGUGACUCAGGAAACAUCAUGGUUCCUACUCAGAACAGCUGACCAGCUUGGUGGACCAGAUCUGGGGAUUUCUCUUAUUUUAUGUAAACCUUUAGAAAAGGUUGGAAUUUACUUUCUGUAAAACAGCCAAGUGGCUUCCGUAAAGUACCUUGUUUUCAAUCCAUUUACAUGAAACAGUUCUGUGCAAAUUUAAAUACUGAAACACUCAGGGGAGGUAAUUUGAGCCUGUUGAUAUAUCUGUUCAUGUUCUGAAACAUUUAAAUUACCAAGUGUUCUCCUGGGGGUUGUGACGUGCAUUGAACUGAAUUGUAUCUUGUGUUGUAAAACUGUUUUAUAGUCCUGUGCCUUGUCAGUCCUGUGCCUUGUCAGAUAAUUUGCAUUUUUUUCUUAACGGUCUUGGAUCCUGUCAGUGAUGUGGUUCUCUUGUAACUGUGUUUAUCACUCUCCAAAGCAAUGCCAAAAUUGUUACAUAAAGACCAUUGCAAGUCCAGAGGGAAAGGUGUUGAAACGUGAUUUGCAUUGUGAUAACUUGGGGGUUUCUGGGGUCUUUUUUGUUGUAGUUUUUUGUGGUUUUUUUUCUUUUAAUUCCUCAUUGCUGUUAGAGUACUACAUGAGUGUUUACUAAGCAGAAACAUAACUAGAUUUUAGAAUUCUGAAUAGCAAAUGUUAGUAAAUACCUUCUCCUACCAGUAUUACUAAUAUAGGUUAUAUUUAUUACAUUUCCAUACACUUAGGAAUAUAAAUUUCCCCAGUGUUAUGAUAAUACGAUCUUGGAUGUAUCAUUUGCACAACCAGUAUGUUAAAAAUAAGGGUGGAAAGCUGUUUAAGUGGUAGGAUAUGAAUUGUUUUCAGUCAAGGCUAUUGAUAACUAUGAAUUUUGAGACAGGGUUGUUGCUUAUGUAUUUUUGUAUUAUGUAUUUUUUUGCUUAUGUAUUUUUGGUACCUAAGCCUUCACUUUGUAUUUAUGUAGAAUGUAGUAGGUGGUCAUCCUCUUUGUGCUAAAGACUGGAAUUCUGGGUGUAUUCAAAUCUAUAUGAAUCACUUUGAAUUGAUGACAAUGACUACUCAAAAAAGAAAUAGAUUUCUUUAAGUUUACUUCUAUUGUCAACAAUUUUUCUCAGAUUUAACAGGAAAGCACUGGUGGCCUGAUUGGUGAAUUUGUUUUCUCUUAAUUACGAAUGUAAUUCACGGAGACCUUUUUCUUAUCAAAGGCUCUGUGUUAACCUUUAGCCUUAAGGUAGUGUUUACUGUCCAGGAAUCAAAUCUGUGCUCCUGCUGAUGUAAAGAAAAGCCUGAAGUUCUUCAGUAUUGCUCCAUCUGAUGUACCAGAAGUCCUUCCUCAGGUCUGGGUGGAACCUCCUGAGCAUCAGUGUGUGCCCGUUGUCUCCUGUCCUGUUACCUGGCACCACCGAGCAGAGCUGCUCCUCUCAGCCGCCUCUUCCCGAGGCUGAACGCGCCGGGAAGAGGCGGCUUCAGCCUUUCCCCGUAAGAGAGAUGCUCCGGCCCCUUCACCACCUUUGUUUCCCUCGGCUGGCCCCGCUCCAGACGCUCCCAGUCUCUCCUGCCCUGAGGAGUACAAGCCCCGCGAGCUGCAAUGUGCAUUUUCACACCGUGACUUAAAGAGCCAGCCCUGCUCCUGCCCGGACAGAAACCACCCUUUGCUCUCUCCUUCCCCUCCCCUGUCCCUGCUAUAAUAAAUAUCCAUUUUUCUGCCCUGUC
Molecule: long non-coding RNA, 5054 nt
Organism: Parus major (Great Tit)
Lineage: Eukaryota; Metazoa; Chordata; Aves; Passeriformes; Paridae
Exons: 7
Source: RefSeq, a predicted model, not a curated record